This 463-nucleotide ribosomal RNA is filed under the name uncultured bacterium. RNAcentral describes it as "bacterial SSU rRNA". It matches the Rfam family "Bacterial small subunit ribosomal RNA", at positions 28 to 487 of the family's 1533-position model. The record is from RNAcentral.
GAUGAACGCUAGCGGCAGGCUUAACACAUGCAAGUCGAACGGUAACAUUCCCGCUUGCGGGAGAUGACGAGUGGCGCACGGGUGCGUAACGCGUAUGCAACCUACCUUUAACAGAGGGAUAGCCCAGAGAAAUUUGGAUUAAUACCUCAUAAUAUUUCUACUACACAUGUAGUGGUUCUUAAAGAUUUAUCGGUUAAAGAUGGGCAUGCGUGACAUUAGCUAGAUGGUGAGGUAACGGCUCACCAUGGCGACGAUGUCUAGGGGUUCUGAGAGGAAGAUCCCCCACACUGGUACUGAGACACGGACCAGACUCCUACGGGAGCAGCAGUGAGGAUAUUGGUCAAUGGACGCAAGUCUGAACCAGCCAUGCCGCGUGAAGGAUGACUGCCCCUAUGGGUUUUAAACUUCUUUUAUAUAGGAAGAAACCUCUCUACGUGUAGAGAGCUGACGGUACUAUACGAAU